UACGUAGGGAGCAAGCGUUGUCCGGAUUUAUUGGGCGUAAAGAGCUCGUAGGCGGCUUGGCAAGUCAGGUGUGAAAACUCCAGGCUCAACCUGGAGACGGCACUUGAUACUGCCAUGGCUUGAGUUCGGUAGGGGACCAUGGAAUUCCUGGUGUAGCGGUGAAAUGCGCAGAUAUCAGGAGGAACACCAAUGGCGAAGGCAGAUCUCUGGGCCGUAACUGACGCUGAGGAGCGAAAGCAUGGGGAGCGAACAGG
Molecule: ribosomal RNA, 254 nt
Filed under: uncultured bacterium
Lineage: Bacteria
Description: partial 16S ribosomal RNA
Rfam family: Bacterial small subunit ribosomal RNA
Source: RNAcentral